This 261-nucleotide ribosomal RNA is filed under the name uncultured archaeon. RNAcentral describes it as "partial 16S ribosomal RNA". It matches the Rfam family "Archaeal small subunit ribosomal RNA", at positions 748 to 1009 of the family's 1478-position model. The record is from RNAcentral.
AGGGUGUAAACGCUGCAGACUUGGUGUUGGAAGUCCUUUGGGGGCAUUCAGUGCCGGAGAGAAGUUGUUAAGUCUGCUACUUGGGGAGUACGUCCGCAAGGAUGAAACUUAAAGGAAUUGGCGGGGGAGCACCGCAACGGGAGGAGCGUGCGGUUUAAUUGGAGUCAACGCCGGAAAUCUCACCGGGAGCGACAGCAGUGUGAUAGCCAGAUUAUAGGUCUUGCGAGACGAGCUGAGAGGAGGUGCAUGGCGUAGUCGUGU